UACGUAGGGUGCGAGCGUUGUCCGGAAUUAUUGGGCGUAAAGGGCUCGUAGGCGGUUUGUCGCGUCGGGAGUGAAAACCCAGGGCUUAACCCAGGGCUGGCUUCCGAUACGGGCAGACUAGAGGUAUGCAGGGGAGAACGGAAUUCCUGGUGUAGCGGUGAAAUGCGCAGAUAUCAGGAGGAACACCGGUGGCGAAGGCGGUUCUCUGGGCAUUACCUGACGCUGAGGAGCGAAAGUGUGGGGAGCGAACAGG
Molecule: ribosomal RNA, 253 nt
Filed under: uncultured bacterium
Lineage: Bacteria
Description: partial 16S ribosomal RNA
Rfam family: Bacterial small subunit ribosomal RNA
Source: RNAcentral